RNAcentral lists this ribosomal RNA (872 nucleotides) under Salmonella enterica subsp. enterica serovar Infantis. RNAcentral's name for it is "partial 23S ribosomal RNA". It matches the Rfam family "Bacterial large subunit ribosomal RNA", at positions 2071 to 2925 of the family's 2925-position model. The record is from RNAcentral. Lineage: Bacteria; Pseudomonadati; Pseudomonadota; Gammaproteobacteria; Enterobacterales; Enterobacteriaceae. RNAcentral also lists the same sequence under 1 other name.
CGCGGCAAGACGGAAAGACCCCGUGAACCUUUACUAUAGCUUGACACUGAACAUUGAGCCUUGAUGUGUAGGAUAGGUGGGAGGCUUUGAAGCGUGGACGCCAGUCUGCGUGGAGCCGACCUUGAAAUACCACCCUUUAAUGUUUGAUGUUCUAACGUGGACCCGUAAUCCGGGUUGCGGACAGUGUCUGGUGGGUAGUUUGACUGGGGCGGUCUCCUCCUAAAGAGUAACGGAGGAGCACGAAGGUUGGCUAAUCCUGGUCGGACAUCAGGAGGUUAGUGCAAUGGCAUAAGCCAGCUUGACUGCGAGCGUGACGGCGCGAGCAGGUGCGAAAGCAGGUCAUAGUGAUCCGGUGGUUCUGAAUGGAAGGGCCAUCGCUCAACGGAUAAAAGGUACUCCGGGGAUAACAGGCUGAUACCGCCCAAGAGUUCAUAUCGACGGCGGUGUUUGGCACCUCGAUGUCGGCUCAUCACAUCCUGGGGCUGAAGUAGGUCCCAAGGGUAUGGCUGUUCGCCAUUUAAAGUGGUACGCGAGCUGGGUUUAGAACGUCGUGAGACAGUUCGGUCCCUAUCUGCCGUGGGCGCUGGAGAACUGAGGGGGGCUGCUCCUAGUACGAGAGGACCGGAGUGGACGCAUCACUGGUGUUCGGGUUGUCAUGCCAAUGGCACUGCCCGGUAGCUAAAUGCGGAAGAGAUAAGUGCUGAAAGCAUCUAAGCACGAAACUUGCCCCGAGAUGAGUUCUCCCUGAGACUUAGAGUCUCCUGAAGGAACGUUGAAGACGACGACGUUGAUAGGCCGGGUGUGUAAGCGCAGCGAUGCGUUGAGCUAACCGGUACUAAUGAACCGUGAGGCUUAACCUUACAACGCCGAAG